GUGUAUUCCAACUUCUUAGAAUAAAAUUUAUCUCAUAAUGUAUGCAGCAUCAAGUACCUUAAAAGUAAAGAAAGAUAAUAACUGUGAAGUUUAGCCAGGGAAGAUGUCCUUUUAUUCGGACUAUUCAGAUGAAUGUGAUAAUGCGUGGUUUCCCUGUAUUGGGUUUCUAUAUGGUUGCUUCUGAACUUUCCUGACAUUAAUUUUACCAUUUGUGUAUUGUUUAAAUGUUAUUGUGAAUUGGUUGGCUCUGGCUACAUUGAGUUUCUGGUAGCUCGGGGUUGUAAAUUUUCUUAAUCUUUGCUCCUUACCACAGAAAGAAGAAGGCUG
This 327-nucleotide unclassified non-coding RNA is filed under the name Hevea brasiliensis (rubber tree). The record is from RNAcentral. Lineage: Eukaryota; Viridiplantae; Streptophyta; Magnoliopsida; Malpighiales; Euphorbiaceae.